This 468-nucleotide ribosomal RNA is filed under the name uncultured bacterium. RNAcentral's name for it is "partial 16S ribosomal RNA". It matches the Rfam family "Bacterial small subunit ribosomal RNA", at positions 28 to 507 of the family's 1533-position model. The record is from RNAcentral.
GACGAACGCUGGCGGCGUGCUUAACACAUGCAAGUCGAACGGAAAGGCCCUGCUUUUGUGGGGUGCUCGAGUGGCGAACAGGUGAGUAACACGUGAGUAACCUGCCCUUGACUUUGGGAUAACUUCAGGAAACUGGGGCUAAUACCGGAUAGGAGCUCCUGCUGCAUGGUGGGGGUUGGAAAGUUUCGGCGGUUGGGGAUGGACUCGCGGCUUAUCAGCUUGUUGGUGGGGUAGUGGCCUACCAAGGCCUUGACGGGUAGCCGGCCUGAGAGGGUGACCGGCCACACUGGGACUGAGAUACGGCCCAGACUCCUACGGGAGGCAGAGGUGUGGAAUAUCGCACAAUGGGCGGAAGCGUGAUGCAGCAACGCCGCGUGCGGGAUGACGGCCUUCGGGUUGUAAACCGCUUUCGCCUGUGACGAAGCGUGAGUGACGGUAAUGGGUAAAGAAGCACCGGCUAACUACGUG